Molecule: long non-coding RNA, 5107 nt
Filed under: Sus scrofa (pig)
Lineage: Eukaryota; Metazoa; Chordata; Mammalia; Artiodactyla; Suidae
Description: lncRNA (ENSSSCG00000060299.1)
Source: RNAcentral
UCUAUUUGAGCACAAGCAUGUUGUACUUUAGGGUUUGAGUUAUAGAACAAAAACAAACAAAAAUCAAAUUAUUCAGAUUAUUCCUCCAUAAACUCUACUCCUAAUUAAUAGGUUGUUAAUUCUUCCUCUUAGACUGCAAGCACACCAAGGGGAGUUUCUGGACAGCUAGAGGACAUCUGAGGAGCACGGCUAAGCCUCAAACCCUCCUUAGGACUACUGUGAACCCCUAUACUUCUGCAGCUACAGUUCCCAAAUUUCUGGGCUCCAUCCCAACAAAAUGUCUAGAAAAAUUUGCUCUAUUUUUGAUCCUCGUUUUUUUUUUGUUUUGUUUUUUUUUUUUUUUUCCUCAUUUCAGAACAGUGAUGGCUUUUCCAGGUAAAGCAUCUUGUUACCUUAUAAGUUUCAUUAAAUAGAUGGCCUUUGAACUAGACCUUGCAGAAUGGGUAAAAUUUAUUUUGGAAAAGAAGUGAAAGAGGGCUAUCAGAGAGUGUUUUCAUGAAUGUAUAAGCCUGGAAUCUGGAUGUCUUUGAUAAGGAGCGAUAAAAGGGUACAUUUGGGUGUGGAUUAAUUCACUUACUCAGUAUAUACAUAUAUAUAGAAACCACAAUUUGAUACAGGAAAUAUAGCAAAGGAUUAGACCUGGUCCAGCUCUCAUGAUGUUCAGAGACAGUGAUGGUUCCGGGGGCAGAGAGACGCAGUGGACAUCAAGAGGUGGGCUAAUUCAUUAUUUGAAGAAUCUUCAAUGACACACAAAGGAGUUUGAAUUUUAUCCCAUCACUACUUAUAACAGCACUUUUUUUGACACUAAUCACAUGCUGGGCAGUAUUCACUAUUUAUUAUUGUAACAACCUUAUGGUAUAGAGAGAUAUUUUACUGACAGGGAGACUGAAGCAUGGAGUAGGUACCUAACUUGGCUAAGGACUCAGAGCUAAUAAGAGGUAGAGUCAGGAUUGAGUCCAGGUAUUUUGGCUUCAGAGUCUAUAGUCUUAUCAUUUGUAAAUAUAUAAUAUGUGGCUAAAGCGAAGCUUUUUUAUAUGAAAAAAGUAAAACAAGGUUAAUGAUGUUGGGAAAAAUCAUUGGAAGAUGCAGCAGUGUGUAUCAGAGCCUGGACUAGACUCCACAAGGCUUUAGGUCCAUUGCUGCUUCUGCUCCACAUAGAGUGUGCACUAGUGUGCAAAAACUUUGUGGAUGCACUUGGAUAAAUUAAGAGAAAUAUGUUUACACUACAAGAGGUGGUAAUGCUGCAGUCCUCUUUUUUUUUUUUUUUUUUUUCUUUCUGCUUUUUAGGACCAAACCCAUGGCAUAUGGAAGUUUUCAGGCUAGGGAUUGAGUCGGAGCUGUAGAUGCCAGCGUACGCCACACCCAUCACCAGAUCCGAGCCAUGUGUUUGACCUACACCACAGCUCACAACAAUGCCAGAUCCUUAACCCACUGAGCAGAGCCAGGUUCAAAACUUGGAUUCAUUUCUGCAGUGCCACAAGGCUUGCUGCAUUCUUUUGUGCUGGUGAGACUAAUAGUGAGCAGUGAGAGGGUUCAGUUGUGUCUGUCUUCCUCUCCGAAUACAUCAGCUGGGGCCCAAAGUUAACAUAUCCAAAGGUAGAAAUGGUUUGUUUUUGUUGUUCCAAGCAAGGUCAAACUUGCAGAAAGGUGCGUUUGGUUGGGUGAGGAUGACCCAGCUAUCUCGAUGUCCUUUUACUAAUCACGGCAUACGAGGUGGUAGAGUCACAAAAUACCUCAUCGUCAGCUGCCUUAGAGACUAGCUUGACCUCCCCCAGGACUCGAUCUACUGUGAAAUGCAUUCAGGCACAGGGAAUAUCAGUGCAAAAACCCCAGGAUUUAUUCCUCACUAAAAGGUGGCUUGGAGGGAUGUCACACGUAGAAAGUGGACUGAUUCAUUUCCACUCCCAGCAUUGUUUCAAUCGAGCUUGGCACAAAGAUGAUCAAUGCUGACUCAGAGCUAUGUCCAGAUGGAGAGAGAGCCUUCUAAACUAUCACAUCCAACCCAGUCCUGGUCUACCACUCCCCCUCGAGUCUCUAGAAUCCUCACUGUCCUAUCUAUAGGGUGCACCCAUUCCAGAGGAUAAGACUCCACUCAUAUUUGGUUCUUUGCCUUCCCAGCAGGACCCCAAAACCCCCUCACCCUUUCGUCUAUGCAGACUGGCACAGAAGAAAUGAUUCUGAAAAAUAAACUAGCUAAUCAUUAGAUGAAAGCAAGCUAUUCUCUUUAUUGGUGAUGCAUCCUGCUUUGAAGGACCUGGUGCGUGAGUUGUGGUGGAGACACUGCUUGGCAUUGACCCAUUUCCCAAAUUAGAAAGACUUAACUCUUCAUGCACAGGUAUUGCUAGACCCCUACAAAGCUUGGAUCCUGGGGAGAGAACUGUAUGAUAUAGGAUGGAAAGGAACAGAAGAGAACGCAGACUCUUCCAAAGGGAAAAGGAGUUGUGCCGAGUAUGUACAGGUUGUUACUUCCCAGAUUACUCCAGGAUUAGUCCUGCAUUUCUCUGCAAGAGAGUGAGGAAUGGAACAGAGAGGCACUAGGAGUGUUUCCCUAAUUGAAUUCCCUCCACAAGGAAAGAACCAUGAGGAAGAGGGGAAGAGUAGUUCCCUUUCGCCAGUGUUAAGAGCACAUUUUGUGCUCUUAUUUAUUUGUUUAUUUUUCUUUUUAGGGCUGCACCUGUGGCAUAUGGAGGUUACCAGGUUAGGGGUUGAAUUAGGAGCCUUAGCUGUUGGCCUACCACACCACAGCCACAGCAAUGCGGGAUCCGAGCCGCAUCUGUGACCUACACCACAGCUCACAGCAACGCCAGAUCCUUAACCCACCGAGUGAGGCCAGGGAUCAAACCCGCAUCCUCAUGGAACCUAGUUGGGUUUUCUAACUGCUGAGCCACAAAGGGAACUCCACAUUUUGUGCUCUUAACACUGUGUGUUCCCUGCCCAGGAAAAGAGUAAAUACUUGUCAAGCCUGUUCUUUGCUGACCCGUGUGGGCCCCUCCCACAAGGAUGACACUGCACCUUGGGUCCCAUGAGCAGGUCUGAAUUCCCCCAACACCCCCUGCUCAAAGACCCUAAAAUGGGUCAGAAGGGAAUAUUGUUUAUAUCAACAAAAAGAAUGAGCAUUUCAUCUCUGGUUGAUUUUCCAGUCUACAUUUUUUUCCCAACAAUGUUGCCCAUCAUAAUCAGUUAUGUGAUCUCUUUUGAGCUUGACUGAUAACAUAAUUAUUCUCCAGCAACAAAAUGUCAAUAAAGGGAUGGCCCAAAUGUGAACAUAAACACUCUGCUACUAUGCCAUUACUGGGGAAAUAUUAAAAUAGGGAGAUGAAAUUAGUUUAAAGGUAAAGUCCAAAUAUGUUACAUUUCCACAGAAUUAAGGUCCAAAAUCAAUUUUCCUUAGGCCUGUGAUUUAAAAUUCCAAAGUUUAUAAAGUACUUCUCAUUUUUUUUUUCAGUCCUUUCAGUCUCUGUUGAAAGUUUUCAGAGAUAGUAUUCUUUUAGGACCUGAAGAUUGUGUUUCUUUCUCGUUGGAAGAAAUGUGUUUCCUCUACCAGGACCUAAGAAUUGUAUUUGUUCUGAGCCUCUGAUGUCAUCACUGUUUUACAGAUUCCCAGGAGUUAUUAUGAAAAACAAGAUUAUCACAACUCUGGCACCACAUCCCAGCAUUGGAGAAACAAAGCAAUCCUUGCUCCUAAAAGAGUUACUUCAGACAAAAUUAUUUUCAGCCAGUCUUUUGUGUUGCCAAGACUGUCACAGGAACUUAUGAUUGUCCGAAAAGGACAUGGCUGUCUUGGUUGGGGUCUUCCUGGGAUACCAGGAAGUUUAUGUCCAUUUUCUGAUACUUAAGAAGUGGAAUUAAAACCCAUUUGGGAAACUCUCAGCAAGAGGUUAAUUUUGGCACUUAUUGCAUCAAUGAAGCCCACUUAUGAAUCCUACACAGUAGGUCCGAAGAAUGCUUGCCUGUUUUCCCACGUCUGCAUUGAGCCCCAUGGUUCAGGCAGCUGGUGGUUAAUUGAAUCACAGAAUCUACAAAUUAACAUGGAAUCUACCACUUGCUCUUAUGAGAAGCAUUUUCAGUCCUGCAACACUAAGUCUGUUUCUUCUUCAUUUAUCUUUGGAAGUUUUAAGACUUAAAAAAAUUGUACUUAGAAUUUCCUCCCAUAUAGGUAAUUAAAUGAUACAGAACAAGUUUGACACCAGCUGGUGAUGAGAAUUGGAAGAGGUGAGUGGCUUGAUGCCUGACUCUGUGGAGAAGCCUGUGCUAGUUCUAGCCUUGAAAUUUCCCUCCCUGGCCUUGAAUCUUUUUAAAAAUUAUUAUUAUUAAAGUAUAGUUGAUGUACAAUGUUGUGCCAAUUUAUGCUGCACAGAAAAGUGACCCAGUCAUAUAUGUAUGUACAAAUAUAUACAUACAUAUAUAUUCUUUUUCUCAUGCUGCAUCUUGCAUCAUGUUCUAUCCCAAGAUAUUGCACAUCGUACCCUGUGCUAUAGAGUAGGACUUCCUUGCUUAUCCAUUCCAAAUGUAAUAAUGUGCCUCUACUAACCCCAAACUCCCCAUCCAUCCCACUCCCUCUCCCACCAACCUUGGCAACCACAAGUCUGUUCUCCAUGUCUGUGAAUCCUUUUUGAAACUAGGGGCAGUCAAUGCAGUCUCCUACCUAGAGCUAAUGCUAACAAUUUAAUGCUAGAAGUUCUGUUGUGCUCCGUAAAAAUUCACAAUUCACUCUUUUAUCAAAUGAAGGACAGCACAUAUCCUUCAGAGACUGAUGUUGGAAAGUUCUGCAGGGACAAUCAGUUGGCCCCAAUCAAAUUCUUUUCCUCUGCUUCCCCUUUGUACCAAAACCUCUGAGAAGAGCCCCUCUCUCAGUCUCUGCUCUUCACACACAUGAACUAAGUACAGGGAAAAGUUGAGGUGCUGUAAGCUGCCUCCUGAGGAAGUCCACACAUGGUUGGGGUUUGAGAAGAGCCCUGAACAUUCUGGUCAUUGCCAUCCUAAGUAGCAAUAACCUGCUAAGGUCAACAUACUGCAAAGAUUCAACACCGCAUACCCAAGCCACACAUUCAUAAAGCCAAUCUUUCAACUGAAAAAUCAGCUUUUGUGCAAUGCUAGGCUGCAAAUC